Molecule: ribosomal RNA, 226 nt
Filed under: Escherichia coli
Lineage: Bacteria; Pseudomonadati; Pseudomonadota; Gammaproteobacteria; Enterobacterales; Enterobacteriaceae
Also listed under: 1 other name
Description: partial 16S ribosomal RNA
Rfam family: Bacterial small subunit ribosomal RNA
Source: RNAcentral
AAAUUGAAGAGUUUGAUCAUGGCUCAGAUUGAACGCUGGCGGCAGGCCUAACACAUGCAAGUCGAACGGUAACAGGAAGAAGCUUGCUUCUUUGCUGACGAGUGGCGGACGGGUGAGUAAUGUCUGGGAAACUGCCUGAUGGAGGGGGAUAACUACUGGAAACGGUAGCUAAUACCGCAUAACGUCGCAAGACCAAAGAGGGGGACCUUCGGGCCUCUUGCCAUCG